RNAcentral lists this ribosomal RNA (897 nucleotides) under uncultured bacterium. RNAcentral describes it as "bacterial SSU rRNA". It matches the Rfam family "Bacterial small subunit ribosomal RNA", at positions 8 to 916 of the family's 1533-position model. The record is from RNAcentral.
AGAGUUUGAUCAUGGCUCAGGACGAACGCUGGCGGCGUGCUUAACACAUGCAAGUCGAGCGGUAAGGCUCCUUUCGGGAGUACACGAGCGGCGAACGGGUGAGUAACACGUGAGCAAUCUGCCCUUCACAUCGGGAUAACUCCGGGAAACCGGUGCUAAUACCGAAUACGACCACUUCAGGCAUCUGAUGGUGGUGGAAAGUUCCGGCGGUGAAGGAUGAGCUCGCGGCCUAUCAGCUUGUUGGUGGGGUAACGGCCCACCAAGGCAACGACGGGUAGCCGGCCUGAGAGGGUGACCGGCCACACUGGGACUGAGACACGGCCCAGACUCCUACGGGAGGCAGCAGUGGGGAAUAUUGGACAAUGGGCGAAAGCCUGAUCCAGCAACGCCGCGUGAGGGAUGACGGCCUUCGGGUUGUAAACCUCUUUCAGCAGGGACGAAGCGCAAGUGACGGUACCUGCAGAAGAAGCACCGGCCAACUACGUGCCAGCAGCCGCGGUAAUACGAAGGGUGCGAGCGUUGUCCGGAAUUAUUGGGCGUAAAGGGCUCGUAGGCGGUCUGUCACGUCGGGAGUGAAAACACGGGGCUUAACCCCGUGCCUGCUUCCGAUACGGGCUGACUAGAGGUAUGCAGGGGAGAACGGAAUUCCUGGUGUAGCGGUGAAAUGCGCAGAUAUCAGGAGGAACACCGGUGGCGAAGGCGGUUCUCUGGGCAUUACCUGACGCUGAGGAGCGAAAGUGUGGGGAGCGAACAGGAUUAGAUACCCUGGUAGUCCACACCGUAAACGUUGGGCGCUAGGUGUGGGACUCAUUCCACGAGUUCCGUGCCGCAGCUAACGCAUUAAGCGCCCCGCCUGGGGAGUACGGCCGCAAGGCUAAAACUCAAAUGAAUUGACGG